GUGCCAGCAGCCGCGGUAAUACGUAGGGUGCAAGCGUUAAUCGGAAUUACUGGGCGUAAAGCGUGCGCAGGCGGUUUUGUAAGUCUGAUGUGAAAUCCCCGGGCUCAACCUGGGAAUUGCAUUGGAGACUGCAAGGCUAGAAUCUGGCAGAGGGGGGUAGAAUUCCACGUGUAGCAGUGAAAUGCGUAGAUAUGUGGAGGAACACCGAUGGCGAAGGCAGCCCCCUGGGUCAAGAUUGACGCUCAUGCACGAAAGCGUGGGGAGCAAACAGGAUUAGAUACCCUGGUAGUCC
RNAcentral lists this ribosomal RNA (292 nucleotides) under uncultured microorganism. Its description in RNAcentral is "partial 16S ribosomal RNA". It matches the Rfam family "Bacterial small subunit ribosomal RNA", at positions 505 to 796 of the family's 1533-position model. The record is from RNAcentral.